AUUGAACGCUGGCGGCAGGCCUAACACAUGCAAGUCGAGCGGAGCGGCGGAAGGGUGAGUAAUGCCUAGGAAUCUGCCUGGUAGUGGGGGAUAACGUCCGGAAACGGGCGCUAAUACCGCCUACUAUCCGAUUAGCCUAGGUCGGAUUCGCUAGUUGGUGGGGUAACGGCCUACCAAGGCGACGCACCGUAACUGUUCUGAGAGGAUAAUCAGUCACACUGGAACGGAGACACGGUCCAGACUCCAACGGGAUGCAGCAGUGGGAAAUAUUGGACAAUGAGCGAAAUCCUGAUCCAGCCAUGCCGCGUGUGUGAAGAAGGUCUUCGGAUGGUAAAGCACUUUAAGUUGGGAGGCGUUACCAACAGAAUAAGCACCGGCUAACUUCGUGCCAGCAGCCGCGGUAAUAC
This 407-nucleotide ribosomal RNA is filed under the name uncultured bacterium. RNAcentral describes it as "partial 16S ribosomal RNA". It matches the Rfam family "Bacterial small subunit ribosomal RNA", at positions 30 to 526 of the family's 1533-position model. The record is from RNAcentral.